This 507-nucleotide ribosomal RNA is filed under the name uncultured bacterium. Its description in RNAcentral is "bacterial SSU rRNA". It matches the Rfam family "Bacterial small subunit ribosomal RNA", at positions 395 to 916 of the family's 1533-position model. The record is from RNAcentral.
CGCCGCGUGGGGGAUGACGCCUUUCGGGGUGUAAACCCCUUUUCUGCGGGAGGACAACCGACAGUACCGCAGGAAGAAGGCCCGGCUAACUACGUGCCAGCAGCCGCGGUAAUACGUAGGUGGCAAGCGUUGUCCGGAUUUACUGGGCGUAAAGAGCGCGCAGGCGGCUGGUCAAGUCCGAUGUGAAAUCUCCCGGCUCAACUGGGAAACUGCAUCGGAAACUGAUCGGCUUGAAGGUGGGAGAGGGCAGUGGAAUUCCCGGUGUAGUGGUGAAAUGCGUAGAUAUCGGGAGGAACACCAGUGGCGAAGGCGACUGCCUGGCCCAUUCUUGACGCUGAGGCGCGAAAGCUAGGGGAGCGAACGGGAUUAGAUACCCUGGUAGUCCACACCGUAAACGUUGGGCGCUAGGUGUGGGGUCCAUUCCACGGAUUCCGUGCCGCAGCUAACGCAUUAAGCGCCCCGCCUGGGGAGUACGGCCGCAAGGCUAAAACUCAAAGGAAUUGACGG